This 324-nucleotide RNase P RNA is filed under the name Chelonia mydas (Green sea turtle). RNAcentral describes it as "Nuclear RNase P". It matches the Rfam family "Nuclear RNase P". From Rfam's summary of the family: Ribonuclease P (RNase P) is a ubiquitous endoribonuclease, found in archaea, bacteria and eukarya as well as chloroplasts and mitochondria. Lineage: Eukaryota; Metazoa; Chordata; Testudines; Cheloniidae. The record is from Rfam by way of RNAcentral.
GUCACACUAAUAAUGCUCACCACUGAGGUCACAUGCAAGGUGCUUGUCACGCGCUGUUCAAUGCCUCUGGGAAGGUCUGAGACAAGAGGCAUUAGCUGCCCUUGCAGGACAUCACCUGCUGCAGGUGAAUGAGUUACCAGCUAUGUUGGGCCCUGGGUGUGUGGCGAAUUGGGCACGAGAAGCUAGAGGGAACCCCCCCUAGUGGAUGCCCAUGCCCCUCACAAGGAUUUAGGACAGACUCAUGGCUGGCAGCACUGAGUUCAAUGGGCUGAGGUGAGACCCUCAGAGGCCUCAUGACCCAAUUCAGACUACUCUCUCUCUGAC